Molecule: long non-coding RNA, 1136 nt
Organism: Bubalus bubalis (water buffalo)
Lineage: Eukaryota; Metazoa; Chordata; Mammalia; Artiodactyla; Bovidae
Exons: 2
Source: RefSeq, a predicted model, not a curated record
ACGUAGCAUAUGAAUAAUUCAUUUAUGGAGCCAUCAGAACCUCAUGGAGUUUAAGCGUGGACCUCUAACUCUCAGAGCAGGGAGCCUCCCGAGCCACGACUGCAGGCUGCAUGCUGAAUACCAGCUGGAAUUUGAAGUACCUUUCAGUCAUUUGGAAAAUUGUUCUAAAAUUAGAAACUACUUAAUAAUUUUUUGUGAAUUUCAUAAAGUAAUUUGAAGUCAAAACCAAUACCAACAUGAAAGGGUAACAACUCAGUGGAGCUCAAGAAGCAAAAGAGGCAAUUUCAGCAGUGUCUGGAUCUGUUUUGAAAUGUGUAAUGCCUUCAACAUUGCCCAGACUUUAUGAAAAUUGUGAGUAGUGCAAGUUGGCACAUCCAAAGCAUGCAUACGAGAAACAGCACAAGAUUCAGAUGACAAAGGGAUGAAAGACAAUAAUGAAUCAUUUACUAUAAGUACUGACAAUGCGGAAGAGAAAGGAAAUGUUAGUAAGCGUCAACACUGACAGGAUUUUUUUUUUUUUAAUGGAGAAGAAAAUUAUACUAGUAAAGCCAAGACUUUGAUGAAGAAGAGACAGUGAAUGAUAUUUUAAUCUAUUUUGAUAUUUCUGCUUGGUCAAUACUAUUUCCAGAUGAAGAGAGUUAAUCCAGUUAAGAAAGGAAGUGAAUCUUUUUAGAAUAAAUAUGAACCUUUCUCUACAGUUCAAAGAAGAGGAGAAAAGAGCAAAGGAAGCAGUCAAUACUUGACAACUUCAUGAUUUUAUAAAUCCUUACCAAACACUGAAAAAAAAAGAUGCCAGUGUUCUCCAAUUGAAAUAAUUGUUUUUGUCUGUAGACUUUGGAUGUUGGGACAAAAAAAAUGAACAUCUAAUCUUGUAACUGACUUUAAACCUGGUAGAAAUUAAAAUCUGAGGUCUGGGAGAUAUCUGAACAAUAUCUCUCCAGCUGUUUUUGACCAUUAUUAAUUUUAUUUAAUGACUAUUACUGAAAAGUUUGUCAUGUCAAAGAGGGGAUAUCAAAAAAGGAUUCACUAAAGGUAUCAAAUUGAUGACUAUGUCAUUAUUCAUCAAUAAUAUCAAUAAUUCUUCUAAAGCAAUCAUUUUGAUGAUAGAUAUGAGUGGAGAUCAGCCCUGGGAUUUC